Molecule: ribosomal RNA, 253 nt
Filed under: uncultured bacterium
Lineage: Bacteria
Description: partial 16S ribosomal RNA
Rfam family: Bacterial small subunit ribosomal RNA
Source: RNAcentral
UACGUAGGGUGCGAGCGUUGUCCGGAAUUAUUGGGCGUAAAGGGCUCGUAGGCGGUUUGUCGCGUCGGGAGUGAAAACCUCGGGCUUAACUCGGGGCUUGCUUUCGAUACGGGCAGACUAGAGGUAUGCAGGGGAGAACGGAAUUCCUGGUGUAGCGGUGGAAUGCGUAGAUAUCGGGAGGAACACCAGUGGCGAAGGCGGUUGCCUGGAGCUUUGCUGACGCUGAUGCGCGAAAGCGUGGGGAGCGAUCCGG